GGGAGUAGCUCAGUGGCAGAGCAUCACCCUUCCAAGGUGAACGUCGCGGGUUCGAAUCCCGUCUCCC
RNAcentral lists this transfer RNA (67 nucleotides) under uncultured Salinibacter sp. It matches the Rfam family "tRNA". Rfam says of the family: Transfer RNA (tRNA) molecules are approximately 80 nucleotides in length. Their secondary structure includes four short double-helical elements and three loops (D, anti-codon, and T loops). The record is from RNAcentral. Lineage: Bacteria; Pseudomonadati; Rhodothermota; Rhodothermia; Rhodothermales; Salinibacteraceae.